RNAcentral lists this ribosomal RNA (305 nucleotides) under uncultured bacterium. RNAcentral describes it as "bacterial SSU rRNA". It matches the Rfam family "Bacterial small subunit ribosomal RNA", at positions 334 to 631 of the family's 1533-position model. The record is from RNAcentral.
UGAUCCUACGGGGGGCAGCAGUGGGGAAUAUUGCGCAAUGGGCGAAAGCCUGACGCAGCGACGCCGCGUGAGGGAUGAAGGUCUUCGGAUCGUAAACCUCUGUCAGCAGGGAAGAACGGUCACUGUGCUAAUCAGCAGUGAAUUGACGGUACCUGCAAAGGAAGCACCGGCUAACUCCGUGCCAGCAGCCGCGGUAAUACGUAGGUGGCAAGCGUUGUCCGGAUUUACUGGGUGUAAAGGGCGUGUAGCCGGGUUGACAAGUCAGAUGUGAAAUCCUGCGGCUUAACCGCAGAACUGCAUUUGAA